CCCCAAACAUCUUCCUUGGAAUCACUUAUGAGCACAAGGAUUUUCCAGGAAAACCUUAGUGAAGACUCUGCAACUCAGAAGAACUAAAUCGAUGUCUAAAUUCAAUCCAACCUCAGGUCACCAGGCAAUAGUGUUUAUUAUAUUCUGGAACUUAAUGCACUGACUCGAAAACUCAUUUGAAGGAACAGCCAGGGAUUUUCAAGUGCUUAGCCAAUUUAGGCUUUUCUAGUGCUCAGAAUACUUUCAAGAUCAAGGAACAAAACAUCGUGUUACUGGUACACCAGACAAAGCAGAACUGAGUUUGCAGUUAGAGCCAAAGGAACACACAGGUUUCUGCAGAAUUACGAUGGGACUUCAAAGCAGGGGCAAGGUUAGGAUUAUUUUAGAAAUGGUGUCAGAUAACUCUCUGAGUUAAAAUGAGUGUCCAUUGGAAACUAAUGCAAUGCUGUUACGCUAACUGGAAUUAAACUAAAAAAGUUAAACCAUGAAAUGGGUAUCCAGUGUGUGCAUCAAGGAUUUAAAUGCAAGACAAUGCAAUUACAACAAUUAAAGAAUUAGUGAAUUAAAAAAACAAUAUUAAGUGGCAAAGUCAAAGAGUGACAGAAACUCGGAAGCAAUGGGCAAAAAAAGCCUGAUUCAACAACAACAACAACAAAUUUUUUUUUUAAUUACACCAAUGCUUAAAAGCUUACAAAUCACUGCAAGCCCACUUGUAGGGAUCUAGGCCAAGGAGAGGAUGAUGAAGGAGCCUAGAUUUGGAUCCAAGGAUAGUCACAGUGGUUACAAUGUAGUUUUAUUGGGAGCCGUGGGGAACUGGUUAAAAUAUUAAGUGGUAAGGGCCAAAGUUUCUGGAGCUCCGUGUGCACUUCGUUGGGUGAAGUCACUGGCAGGUUAAUCGGGGGAUGGUUGGUGGGGGAGGUUGGGCGGGGCAGGAGAGCAGACAGAACCACCCACGCCCAUCCCCCUGAGACUCAAGAGCACCUUUGAAACCGCCAGGUGCACUACUAGGUAGGCCUCAUUUGGGCCCGGAUGGAGGCGGUGCCUGAAGGGGCUGGGCCAGCAGGGUUGAACUAGAAAUGAGGGUGGGGGCUGGUCGGGGCCAGCCUUGCUGACUGUGGGAGCAUCCCGCAAGGAGGCCAGGCUAGUCCUACUGCCCCUCGGUGACCGCGGUGAGGUACAGGUACAGGGCCAGUCCCGGGAAAGGCUGGCCCUUUCAGAGAGGAGCUUUGCCCCUCUGACCCCGCGGAUGUCAGUGCUCAGGCGCUGCGGGGCUGGAAGAGGAACCCUAGGCUACAGGGCAUGAAAGAAGGCAACUAAACCCCCACAGAUCAGACUAAUGCUUCAGGAGGCAGGAACGAAGAGGAACUUCAGCGGGGGGCUGGAUUGCAGGCACUGUCGCUGAAGGGGAAAAGGGGUCUUGGAGCCAUUUUUCAAGACCAGGUGGUGAAUACCCGACAGUACUUGGAACAUGUGAAAGACUCCACAACAGGAAUGCAAGGUAGAGUGGUGAAGCUAUUCACCAACCAUUUCCGAGUGACCUCUCGCCCUGAACUCCUCACGUAUAAGUACAACAUUGAUUACAUGCCAGAGGUUGAAGAUGGAAAAGUUCGUACAGAUUUGCUCUGCCAGCAUAAACAUGUAAUUGGAGAGUGUCCCACAUUUGAUGGGAACUCUUUAUUACUGCCUCAUAAACUACAAAAGCAGGUGUAUCUCCGUGUUUGUUAGUAAAUCUUAAUAAUAUUCACUGCCGUUGCCAUGAAAUCCAUUCUUCCAAUUUCUAGAAUUUUGAAGAUGAGGGAUUUGAAGCAAGUUGGUCACAACUAUUACAACGAGAGUGAGGCCAUGGAGUUCCUCAAUCACCAGAUAUCUUAAGCUGAAGAGCGUGGAUGUAAAGCUGCUUGGCCAGCAUCAUCUUAGGAGUCCUCAACUUUAUUCUUGCUUCCCAAUUUCAAAAUUUACGACAAAGCUCUAGGAAUCAGGACAGUGGGAUACUGCAAGAGUUUCAAGACCGCUUUCUUGGGGAAGGAAUACUCGUUUCCUCAAAUAUUGCUGGGACCACUGGAUAUCCACCUGGCCGUUCCUCACAGAAGAUACAAAAUUAACUCCAAUUUAUCCCCCAAAUUAACUAAAAAUAGACCUAAAUGUAUAAAAAUAGAACCUAUCAAGUGGAUACUAUUAAUUGGGAGGAGACUCCCAGAAGUACGUUUAAGAAAUCAGGUGGUGAGGAAAUCACCUUCGUAGACUACUACAAGGAGGUCUAACAGAUAAAAUGCAUAAUGACUACAGACUGAAGAGAGACAUGGCUAUGCAUACAAGGUUGGAUCCAGAAAAAAAGGCAGCAUGAGUUACGAAGAUUCAUGAAUAUUGUACAAAAAAGUAAGAGUGCACAAAAGGAACUCCAACUUUGGGAUUUGAAAUUUGACCCCAACUUCGUGUCCUUCUCAGGAAGAAUUAUGAAAGAAGUAAGAAUUCUUCAAAGAAGCAGAGCGCUCAAGUUUGGAAAUGUGUGAAAAUGUACAAGAAGCACGAGAAUUGAGAAGCACUUGACUUCUGAGGAAAACGUGAUGGCAGUAAGAGAUUUCUACUUUCUAGUCACUGAGUGGCAACAAAAUCAAAGUGAAGAACUUAUCUCCCAGGAUUGGAAUCAAGCACAGCCAAUUUCCAUCCCCUCCUCAACUUGGUACCCCACGGUUCCUCAAAACUAGGGUCUGGGCCCACAUGUUUCAAAUCGCUGAGCUAAUUUCGGUUCCAUGUGGAAUAAAAACACAUGUGGCACCAUUUCUGUCAUCAGGAAAUCUCAGUCCUCCCAGAAUUAAAUUGAAACAUAAUCGGAUGAUGAAAUAGAACUGAGCCCCCUUUGAAAGGAGUUGGAAACCAGAGAAGAAUCUCCUAGAGGAGGAGUCCACUCUUCUGCAACCUCCUUUUUGCUGAUCAUGACUUGGACUGUUGUACGAGAUGUUGAAUUGAGUUUCUCCCAUUGAUUGGUUCAACCUCUCAGCUGCUGCUGUGGGUCUGAGCCACGGCCAGGUUGGAGUGGUUCUGCGAGUUGGGAGGAUCUCUCAGCCUAGACUGGCAGUCGCAGGCAGAAAUAGAAUGGGACCCACCCAUGUCAACUACAGAUUGUCUAGUAGCUCUAUGGUAAAAAGAAACAAGUCAAAAAUCAAAUCAUUGUAAUGGGCAAAAUGGUACCACUUGAACGUGUAUUUGAUUUCAAAAAUACAUUGUUUUUAAAACCUCAACAGGAAAGUUUCUUCUUCUUUUUUUUUUUUUUCUUAUUCUGUCCUCAGAAUCAGUGUGCAUGUCACACUCAGAGCACGGCUCAAUUCAGAGGAGCUGAAUUCCAGGGGCUCGAUUUCCACAGGUGGUUGGUGGCUACAAUAUUGGACACCCCAGGUCUGAUCUAUUGUACCAGCUCAGGUCAAAGCUGAAUGACCAACUGAGACUUUAAUUCUACCUAGCAUCUCAAAUAUGAGAAGAGCAGCACCAAGAGUCACUUAUGUUUAUAUUUGUAGUGCGUGGCAUUUCCUAGUAGAGGGAGGACACGUAGUAGGUAUGUGACACGUCUAUGCAAGCAAAGAGGAUAAAAACCCCACGCAGUCCUGUUCCUUUAGGUCCUUAGGAAACUCAACUAUCAUGCUCAUUUUUCCACAGAGAGUGGGUAUGGCUGAACAUUUUAAAGAAGGAAGGAGAUGUCUCAUCUGCCUCAGUUAUCCUGAAAAACCCAUGUUCCUGGCACAAAAACAGACACAUAGACCAAUGGAAUAGAAUAGAAACCCCAGAACUAGACCCACAAACGUAUGGCCAACUCAUCUUUGACAAAGCAGGAAAGAACAUCCAAUGGAAAAAAGACAGUCUCUUUAACAAAUGGUGCUGGGAGAACUGGACAGCAACAUGCAGAAGGUUGAAACUAGACCACUUCCUCACACCAUUCACAAAAAUAAACUCAAAAUGGAAAAAGGACCUGAAUGUGAGACAGGAAACCAUCAAAAGCCUAGAGGAGAAAGCAGGAAAAGACCUCUCUGACCUCAGCCGUAGCAAUCUCUUACUCGGCACAUCCCCAAAGGCAAGGGAAUUAAAAGCAAAAAUGAAUUACUGAGACCUUAGGAAGAUAAAAAGCUUCUGCACUGCAAAGGAAACAACCAACAAAACUAAAAGGCAACCAACGGAAUGGGAAAAGAUAUUUGCAAAUGACAUAUCAGACAAAGGGCUAGUAUCCAAAAUCUAUAAAGAGCUCACCAAACUCCACACCCGAAAAACAAAUAACCCAGUGAAGAAAUGGGCAGAAAACAUGAAUAGACACUUCUCUAAAGAGGACAUCCGGAUGGCCAAGGGCACAUGAAAAGAUGCUCAACGUCGCUCCUUAUCAGGGAAAUACAAAUCAAAACCAUACUCAGAUAUCACCUCACGCCAGUCAGAGUCGCCAGAAUGAACAAAUCAGGAGGCUAUAGAUGCUGGAGAGGACGUGGAGAAACGGGAACCCUCUUGCACUAUUGGUGGGAAUGCAAAUUGGUGCGGCCACUCUGGAAAACAGUGUGGAGGUUCCCCAGAAAAUUAAAAAUAGACCUACCCUAUGACCCAGCAAUAGCACUGCUAAGAAUUUACCCAAGGGACACAGGAGUACUGAUGCAUAGGGGCACUUGUACCCCAAUCUUUAUAGCAGCACUCUCAACAAUAGCCAAAUUGUGGAAAGAGCCUAAAUGUCCAUCAACUGAUGAAUGGAUAAAGAAAUUGUGGUUUAUAUACACAAUGGAGUACUACGUGGCAAUGAGAAAGAAUGAAACAUGGCCCUUUGUAGCAACGUGGAUGGAACUGGAGAGUGUGAUGCUAAGUGAAAUAAGCCAUACAGAGAAAGACAGAUACCAUAUGUUGUCACUCUUAUGUGGAUCCUGAGACUUAACAGAAACCCAUGGGGGAGGGGAAGGAAAAAAACAAAAAGAGGUUAGAGUGGGAGAGAGAGCCAAAGCAUGAGACUCUUAAAAACUGAGAACAAACUGAGGGUUGAUGGGAGGUGGGAGGGAGGGAAGGGUGGGUGAUGGGUAUUGAGGAGGGCACCUUUUGGGCUGAGCACUGGGUGUUGUAUGGAAACCAUUUUGACAAUAAAUUUCAUAUAUUGAAAAAAUAAAUAAAUAAAUAGUAACAAAAAAUAAUAUUAAAUAAAUAAAUA
Molecule: long non-coding RNA, 5164 nt
Organism: Acinonyx jubatus (cheetah)
Lineage: Eukaryota; Metazoa; Chordata; Mammalia; Carnivora; Felidae
Exons: 14
Source: RefSeq, a predicted model, not a curated record